CCUUCCUCUUCCUCCCGGUCUGUUUCGGUACAGCCAUUUUUUAGUUCGGAAGCGUGUUAGUUCGCGUCGUGUAAUAUUACGUUGUUUUACUGAAUUUAUAGACUUGGUUCUAAUACGAGCCAAAAAUGCCAGGAUUUAGCAGCGUGGGUACGUUUAAAAUUUUUAUUGGUAACUUAGCUGAUAAAACAUCAAACGCUGAUAUCAAGCCACUUUUCGAGAAAUAUGGAAAAGUCGUAGAAUGUGAUGUUGUUAAAAAUUAUGGAUUUGUGCAUAUGGAGAAUGAAGAAGCUGGAAGAAAUGCAAUUCAGAAUUUGAAUGGACAAAUAGUUCAUGGACAGCCCAUAAAGUGUGAAGCUGCAAAGAGUCGUAAAGGACCCAAUACCCCUACGACAAAAAUUUUUGUUGGCAAUCUUACAGAUAACACGAAAGCACCUCAAGUGCGCGAAUUGUUUGCUAAAUAUGGCACUGUCGUAGAAUGCGAUAUAGUGAGAAACUAUGGAUUCGUCCAUCUAGAAGCCACAGGUGACGUGAACGAUGCCAUCAAGGAGCUUAAUGGGCAAAUCGUCGAUGGUCAACCUAUGAAGGUUCAAAUUUCCACUAGCAGAGUACGACAAAGGCCAGGAAUGGGAGAUCCAGAACAAUGCUACCGAUGCGGACGUGGAGGCCAUUGGUCCAAGGAAUGUCCAAAAGGAGGAAUGGGAGGAGGACCGGACAGGAAUGGAUUUCGCGACAGAAUGUUUGGACGUGACCCGUAUCCUCCACCGCCGCCACCACCUUUCCUUCGGGACCGGCUAAUGGGUGGUGGCCGCUUUGGAGACUACGAAAGCUACUAUGACAGGAGGGGCUUCGACGACACCAGGGAUCUCUACGAGAGGCGGUUUACGGGUAUGACAGGGCCCUGUGACAUGGGAACAUCCAUGUGCGGGCUAGACUUUCCACCAAUGACAAUGCCACCUCUACCUCCCAGACGAGACCCAAUGCCUCCUAUGCCUCCUCUAGGUAUGGGAUCCAUGCGUGACACUGGCUUCUCCCGAGGCAACGAUUAUGGCAUGUUCAGCCGACGAUCACCCCCUCCAAGCGGCAACAACGGCCGGUUCAGUGCACCUCAGGCUGCGUACCAUCUUUGUCCAUGAAUGCGGACAACCCUAGAGAGACAGUCCUGGGUCAACGUUCAAGUCAUGCAAGAACCGGGAUUACGAGGGCCAUCGCCGUCGCGCCGGUUCGCACCAUACUAAAUCGUCGCGUCGGGCUCGGAUCGGUCUGUCGGUCUGUCCGUCUCUCUCUGUGUCGGGUCUGAUCGCUAGCAGGAAGCCUCGGGACCGAGAUACUCUUGGCCGUCUGUCGAUCUGCACGCGCGAAGAUCUGCCGCAACCGCUAUAUGAGAAAAGAAACACAAGUACAUUCUGUCACCCGCAGGGCGCCCAUUUAAUAAUUAGAUUAUUCUUAAUAAAUAAACUUAUGAUAAAAAGAAAUGAAAUGAAAUGAAA
Molecule: unclassified non-coding RNA, 1487 nt
Filed under: Polistes canadensis
Lineage: Eukaryota; Metazoa; Arthropoda; Insecta; Hymenoptera; Vespidae
Description: rNA-binding protein lark, transcript variant X9
Source: RNAcentral